CCUCGGGAGGCAGCAGUGGGGAAUAUUGGACAAUGGGCGAAAGCCUGAUCCAGCCAUGCCGCGUGUGUGAAGAAGGCCUUCGGGUUGUAAAGCACUUUCAGUGGGGAAGAAAGCCUUGGGGCUAAUACCCUCGAGGAAGGACAUCACCCACAGAAGAAGCACCGGCUAACUCCGUGCCAGCAGCCGCGGUAAUACGGAGGGUGCGAGCGUUAAUCGGAAUUACUGGGCGUAAAGCGCGCGUAGGCGGUCUGAUAAGCCGGUUGUGAAAGCCCCGGGCUCAACCUGGGAACGGCAUCCGGAACUAACAGGCUAGAGUGCAGGAGAGGAAGGUAGAAUUCCCGGUGUAGCAGUGAAAUGCGUAGAGAUCGGGAGGAAUACCAGUGGCGAAGGCGGCCUUCUGGACUGACACUGACGCUGAGGUGCGAAAGCGUGGGUAGCAAACAGGAUUAGAUACCCCAGUAGUC
This 464-nucleotide ribosomal RNA is filed under the name Vreelandella stevensii. Its description in RNAcentral is "partial 16S ribosomal RNA". It matches the Rfam family "Bacterial small subunit ribosomal RNA", at positions 339 to 795 of the family's 1533-position model. The record is from RNAcentral. Lineage: Bacteria; Pseudomonadati; Pseudomonadota; Gammaproteobacteria; Oceanospirillales; Halomonadaceae.